GUCUGAGGAUGUCAAUUUCCCACAUGGCGAAGGGCCAAGGGGUGACAAUUGGUGUAAGCUCGAUCAUCAAUCUUCAUUGGAUAAUGGCAUACCUUUGGCAUUGCUUGCACUUCUUGACGAGGUUGGCUACAUCUUAUUGUAGAGUGGGCCAAUAGUAUCCUUAUCAGAUUAUCUUCUAAGCUAGCAACUUGCCUCCCAAGUGAUUACUAUAGAUCCCUCAUGGAUCUCCCACAGCAUGUAAUUCACAUUAAUUGACUAUAGGCACCG
Molecule: long non-coding RNA, 267 nt
Filed under: Elaeis guineensis (African oil palm)
Lineage: Eukaryota; Viridiplantae; Streptophyta; Magnoliopsida; Arecales; Arecaceae
Description: long non-coding RNA (EGUI_LNC043212)
Source: RNAcentral